RNAcentral lists this ribosomal RNA (405 nucleotides) under uncultured bacterium. Its description in RNAcentral is "bacterial SSU rRNA". It matches the Rfam family "Bacterial small subunit ribosomal RNA", at positions 354 to 776 of the family's 1533-position model. The record is from RNAcentral.
GUGGGGAAUCUUAGACAAUGGGGGCAACCCUGAUCUAGCCAUGCCGCGUGAGUGAUGAAGGCCUUAGGGUUGUAAAGCUCUUUCAGCUGGGAAGAUAAUGACGGUACCAGCAGAAGAAGCCCCGGCUAACUCCGUGCCAGCAGCCGCGGUAAUACGGAGGGGGCUAGCGUUGUUCGGAAUUACUGGGCGUAAAGCGCACGUAGGCGGAUCGGAAAGUUGGGGGUGAAAUCCCGGGGCUCAACCUCGGAACUGCCUCCAAAACUAUCGGUCUUGAGUUCGAGAGAGGUGAGUGGAAUUCCGAGUGUAGAGGUGAAAUUCGUAGAUAUUCGGAGGAACACCAGUGGCGAAGGCGGCUCACUGGCUCGAUACUGACGCUGAGGUGCGAAAGCGUGGGGAGCAAACAGG